UGGCCGUGGAAGUUUCGUUUUGAGCGUUCCAAAUGUUUAAAGGCUAUUCCUUAAAAUAAAUGAAACCUGCUUAGCUUUUUGUGUUAUAUACUGGCGGCAAUAGUUGGCAGCAGCUACUUUCACCCUUGCAAAGGUUAUUUUGAUUGUAUGGAAAUUCAAGCUGCCUAUUUCAGAAAACAAAACAUGAAAAGAGUCAAUCCGUGUUUGCCGACUCUUAAAAGACCUUUCUCAAAGUGUUUUUUAUGAUGCCAAACCCACAAGAGUUUGUAAAAAUGUGCCUACUUUUGCCUUUGAAUUUAAUUAGGCUGGAAUUACAAAAUGUACAUGUACAACAACAUUUCUGCUUUCUACUCUUAAAAAAAUAUAAACUUUAGUCAUAUUUGAAUCACACUUUUUUUUAACAUCUUCUUUUAAAUAUUUUUGUUUCCAUUUAGGACUGCCAACAUUGCUAUGGAAACCCCCCAAAAAUAAAGACUUUCCCAGCCUUGUGAGAGCACACCUGCAAGAACAAGAAUUGCAGUUAGCCUUUUGCCUGUCAAAAACUACUCUCCUUCAAUAUCAGUGUCGCUUAAGGACAUCUUUUAUGUUUGGGCUGGAGCUUCCUGGUGUUCGUAUGAAAAAUCUUCACAGAAGAGGAGUAUGGUGUUUCUGAGAGGAAACCUUCACAGCACUGCACAGACAAGCCCCCGCCUUUACAUAUGAAAAGGUGAAGAUAUAUAACAGCCUUGGGGUAAAUAAUAAAGCUUCCUUUCUGCUAAAGAAGAAAGGUUCG
This 772-nucleotide long non-coding RNA is filed under the name Struthio camelus australis. Its description in RNAcentral is "lncRNA (ENSSCUG00000014013.1)". Lineage: Eukaryota; Metazoa; Chordata; Aves; Struthioniformes; Struthionidae. The record is from RNAcentral.